Molecule: ribosomal RNA, 497 nt
Filed under: uncultured bacterium
Lineage: Bacteria
Description: partial 16S ribosomal RNA
Rfam family: Bacterial small subunit ribosomal RNA
Source: RNAcentral
GAUGAACGCUGGCGGCGUGCCUAAUACAUGCAAGUCGAGCGAACGGACGAGAAGCUUGCUUCUCUGAUGUUAGCGGCGGACGGGUGAGUAACACGUGGAUAACCUACCUAUAUGACUGGGAUAACUUCGGGAAACCGGCGCUAAUACCGGAUGAUAUUUUGAACUGCAUGGUUCAAAAGUGAAAGACGGUCUUUCUGUCACUUAUAGACGGAUCCGCGCUGCAUUAGCUAGUUGGUAAGGUAACGGCUUACCAAGGCAACGAUGCAUAGCCGACCUGAGAGGGUGAUCGGCCACACUGGAGCUGAGACGCGGUCCAGACUCCUACGGGAGGCAGCAGUAGGGAAUCUUCCGCAAUGGGCGGAAGCCUGACGGAGCAACGCCGCGUGAGUGAUGAAGGUCUUCGGAUCGUAAAACUCUGUUAUUAGGGAAGAACAUAUGUGUAAGUAACUGUGCACAUCUUGACGGUACCUAAUCAGAAAGCCACGGCUAACUACGUG